GAAAUAUUCUAAGUACUUGUUUUGAAUUCAAGGAAUAAAGUAAAAUUUGCUUGUGUUUCU
Molecule: transfer RNA, 60 nt
Filed under: Phagocata gracilis
Lineage: Eukaryota; Metazoa; Platyhelminthes; Tricladida; Planariidae
Description: tRNA-Ser
Source: RNAcentral